UCAGCUUGGUCAGGGGUAGAAGAAAACAGAGGGGGAAAGAUGCAAGAGAGGAGGCAUUAUCUUCUGAAGUAACCAGCAAGAGAAAAACCACUGCAUGGGGCACCUCAGGUGGAGCCAGGUGGCCGUGAGAAGUGUUGGGAAACAAGAAAUUGCUAUGGGAGAUGUCUACAGUGAGUAGACCCACUCUCCCUAUUUGUUUCAAGUAGCGUUAUCAUUGGCUGUACAAAGCUUAUUAUAGUCAAUCUUCAGGUCUGAAAAAUGCUGGUGUAUUGUACCUAAGUAGAGUGAGUUCAGGGGCUAGUGCUGAGAACACACUUAAGCCCUGGGGAUCCCUAAAACUCCUUCAGAGUAGGGGAGACCUAGAACUCCAGGAACAAAGCCUACUGGUAUGAGUUGGUGGAAUACCAUUUGACCAUUCAAAGAGAAGAACCCUAUGAACAAGGCUAUGACAGAGGACAUGCAUGCUUAACUUGGCCUCUUGGGACCUCUCCUGGGGUAUACCAUGUCGGAAGAAGCCUUCAGCUAAAAGAGGGCUGAACUCAUCACCAGACCAGAGACGAAGAUGUCCCAGGCUGCGUUCAUUCUCUGUGCACACCUGGCUGCCCAGCAAUGCUGCGUGCUCAGUGGGAGGGAAGGAUAGAGCAGGGUGGACUUGCCUUUGUAGAAGAACAAAAGGAGCUGGAAGGACGCAACCAGCUCCCUCCCCGGGAUUGCUGGGUGGUAUCCAGUGCUUUGCCAAAUGAGGAGGGUGCGGGGUUCUUUUCUUAGAAAUCUCUUUCUUCUUUUUGGGCAAUAAAGUUGAGGGUUUUUUUUUUUUAUCAUAAAUUAUUGUGUGCUCACUAAUGAAAGCCUGGCAGGUACAGGAGUAUGAUGUCAC
Long non-coding RNA from Peromyscus californicus insignis, 877 nucleotides. RefSeq lists it as uncharacterized. The transcript is spliced from 3 exons. Lineage: Eukaryota; Metazoa; Chordata; Mammalia; Rodentia; Cricetidae. The record is from RefSeq and is a predicted model, not a curated record.